AACGAACGCUGGCGGCAGGCCUAACACAUGCAAGUCGAACGAUAAGCCACCUUCGGGUGGUGGACAGUGGCAGACGGGUGAGUAACGCGUGGGAACGUGCCUUUCGGUUCGGAAUAACCCAGGGAAACUUGGGCUAAUACCGGAUACGCCCUUCGGGGGAAAGAUUCAUUGCCGAAAGAUCGGCCCGCGUCGGAUUAGCUAGUUGGUGGGGUAAUGGCUCACCAAGGCGACGAUCCGUAGCUGGUCUGAGAGGAUGACCAGCCACACUGGGACUGAGACACGGCCCAGACUCCUACGGGAGGCAGCAGUGGGGAAUAUUGGACAAUGGGCGCAAGCCUGAUCCAGCCAUGCCGCGUGGGUGAAGAAGGCCUUAGGGUUGUAAACCCCUUUCAGCGGGGAAGAUAAUGACGGUACCCGCAGAAGAAGUCCCGGCUAACUCCGUGCCAGCAGCCGCGGUAAUACGGAGGGGACUAGCGUUGUUCGGAAUUACUGGGCGUAAAGCGCACGUAGGCGGAUUUGUAAGUCAGGGGUGUAAUCCCGGGGCUCAACCUCGGAACUGCCUUUGAUACUGCAAAUCUCGAGUCCGGAAGAGGUGAGUGGAAUUCCUAGUGUAGAGGUGAAAUUCGUAGAUAUUAGGAAGAACACCAGUGGCGAAGGCGGCUCACUGGUCCGGUACUGACGCUGAGGUGCGAAAGCGCGGGGAGCAAACAGGAUUAGAUACCCUGGUAGUCCACGCCGUAAACUAUGGGUGCUAGCCGUCGGGGAGCAUGCUCUUCGGUGGCGCAGCAAACGCAUUAAGCACCCCGCCUGGGGAGUACGGUCGCAAGAUUAA
Molecule: ribosomal RNA, 832 nt
Filed under: uncultured bacterium
Lineage: Bacteria
Description: bacterial SSU rRNA
Rfam family: Bacterial small subunit ribosomal RNA
Source: RNAcentral